Molecule: non-coding RNA, 2031 nt
Organism: Oncorhynchus mykiss (rainbow trout)
Lineage: Eukaryota; Metazoa; Chordata; Actinopteri; Salmoniformes; Salmonidae
Source: RefSeq, a predicted model, not a curated record
CAUGAGUAAUCUCCUAAUAUGAUUGUUGGCGAAUGCGGAAGCAAAAUAAGAGCGUGUAGAUUGCCUCAGAAUGUAAACAAAUUGGUACAAGGCAGGUACCACCGUUUUUUUCAAUUAAAUUUACCACCACAUAAUUGACGGCACGUUUCACAUGUUGGUAAAAACGUUACUAAUGUUUGGUUGACAGUCGGUGAUUCGUAUUUCCAUUUUGUCGGCACAAACAACUUAAAGAGAAGAAACGUUAGUUACCUACAGUAAAAUGAGGAGCAACACGUCCACCUCAAUGGCUCAGACUCUCAGCUUCGGGUCUGUCCGUCAAAGCCCCCGGUUGAGUUAAAAUGUUGCACUGACACAUGGACUGUUGGACUCAGCUGUUGAGCAGCUAAUGGUUCGGGGGGAUUUCCAAGCUGCUUUCGACACAUGUGAGAGAGGUCUGGAGAGCAUUUUAAACGCGGCGCAAAAGGACAGCAGGUUUGGGGAGUUGAAGGCUGCACUCAACAUUGUGGGGAUUCAACCAUUGGCUGAACUCAAUCAGUGACCUGGUGCACUGGCAUGGAUUCUGCAGCAUUAUGCGUGCCCUGAGAAAAUACCUGCCAAAAUAAUGCAGAUGUGCACUGGAUAUCGUGGAGAAUAAAGAGAACCUCAGCCAAGAACAAUCCCCAAGCCUUAGUCCCAACCCCAGUCCUGUGGUGGAGCUGCUGGACUUAACACACCUCAAGGUGCAUCUCACUUACAGUUGCAUUAACCCUUUGUAUUGACAUUAAUGCUGCCAGACAGUGUGACUGACUGUGUGUUUGUACUUUAUAGGUGCUGUGAUUCAGAAACUUGAGGCCUUGCUUAGACUUUUGAACAGAGGACUAUCGGUAGCCAGUGCUGGGUCAUUCCCUAUUCACAGAGUCUUUCUGGCUGUGGUCCUUUUCUACAUGCUUUUUGUCCGGAUGGAUCCAGCUCAUCCCUCAUCUUUCCCCUGGAUCUCACAGAUGCUGCAGAUGCUGAAGCAGAUGUGGGACGCCAUGUUUGCUCCUUACUAUCGAGCCUGAGCUCAGAGCUAACUGUAAAACCAUACAGCCUGGUGCUGGGAUAUCAGGUUUAAAUUUGACUGAGACUGAAGAGCUCACCAUUGACCAUCUAAUCAUGUAAAUACUAAUAAGGGACUGAGAUAGAUAGAGAAAUUCAGGGGGGCUUUUGUUGGCAAAAACAACGUGAAUACCUGUGAAGGCAGAAUGUGAACGUAAUAGGCAGAAUUAAUUUCCCUGGUGUUGCAGAUUCAGUUGCUCCCAUAUAGGUGUGCGUGUGAGCGAGCGAGAAAGCGAUUGAGUGUGUGUGGUGACACACAUUUUGUGUUGAUAUGAAUGGCCCAGUCCAAAACAACUGUUAAAUGUAGGCAAUAUAAUUAUAAUCAGAUGCAUGUCAGACAAAUAACUUUUACAUGACAGUAAAAUAUUUAAUUGGUCAAAUUAGAAUUAUCAUAAAUUAGUUGAGUAUCUUUCAAUAGGGUCUGGCUCCAGCAGAUACCGUCUCAGUAGUGUGUACUAGCUAGCUAGUGUAUACUAUGUAGCAGUGGUGUAACCGCGCGCAACUGGUUGUCGCAGGAAGGAGCUCACAGAAUUGAACGACAUCGGUAGCUGGUAUUGUAGGAAAGACAUUUUAACUUAUUUACCAGUAAAUGCUAAGGAAACAAUGGAUAUGCAAACCAGGUAUUGAAAAUGUUUGGUCCGAAGUCUCGGUUGAAACUUUGUAAUGCGCAAUUCAGUCAUCAUGCGUUGUUUGAAUGAACAUUCCUGUAGGCUUGAUGAAUGAUAUGAUUUGUAUCAAUCAGGAGGGCAUUCGUUUUGCAAACUGCCAUGUAGGCCUACAUUGUACAGUACAGAAAACUACACGCUCCAAAAUAUUUAAAUGUUUCCCAGACCACUAUUUUCUCCUGAUGUGGUUUAAGUAUUGUUGUGGACUUACAACAUCCAAUUGUUGUUGUUGUUCUAUUAAAAAGUGUUGAAUGAGUAAAAACCUGAAAAAAAUAUAGUAAAACUUUUU